Molecule: ribosomal RNA, 662 nt
Filed under: Annulohypoxylon annulatum
Lineage: Eukaryota; Fungi; Ascomycota; Sordariomycetes; Xylariales; Hypoxylaceae
Description: eukaryotic LSU rRNA
Rfam family: 5.8S ribosomal RNA (bases 276-429)
Source: RNAcentral
UGGAAGUAAAAGUCGUAACAAGGUCUCCGUUGGUGAACCAGCGGAGGGAUCAUUAGCGAGUUACCGCAAAACUCCAUAACCCUUUGUGAACCUACCUACUGUUGCCUCGGCGUCGCGCUGCGGCUGACGCCCGCCCCUACCCGCCCUACCCGGGAGAGGAGGGGGCGGGCCUCAGCCGGCUGAACCAGCCCGCCAAAGGACCUACAAACCAAACCCUAAAUCAAACGAACGUACCUUCUGAAAAAAAAAACAACUUUUGAAACUUAAUAAGUCAAAACUUUCAACAACGGAUCUCUUGGCUCUGGCAUCGAUGAAGAACGCAGCGAAAUGCGAUAAGUAAUGUGAAUUGCAGAAUUCAGUGAAUCAUCGAAUCUUUGAACGCACAUUGCGCCCGCCAGCAUUCUGGCGGGCAUGCCUAUCCGAGCGUCAUUACGACCCUUAAGCCCCCCGGGCUUAGCGUUGGGAUUCCGCGCCUUCCGGGGCGCGGUUCCCUAAAGCCAUCGGCGGCGCCGCGGCUCCACUUCUGAGCGUAGUAAUCUACAGUUCCUCGCCCCUGAAGUGGCCGCGGCCGCCUGCCGCAAAACCCCACCAACUCUCAGUGGUUGACCUCGGAUUAGGUAGGGAUACCCGCUGAACUUAAGCAUAUCAUAAGCCGGGAGGAA